This 72-nucleotide transfer RNA is filed under the name Pseudobacteroides cellulosolvens ATCC 35603 = DSM 2933. Its description in RNAcentral is "Bacteroides cellulosolvens ATCC 35603 tRNA". It matches the Rfam family "tRNA". Rfam says of the family: Transfer RNA (tRNA) molecules are approximately 80 nucleotides in length. Their secondary structure includes four short double-helical elements and three loops (D, anti-codon, and T loops). Lineage: Bacteria; Bacillati; Bacillota; Clostridia; Eubacteriales; Oscillospiraceae. The record is from Rfam by way of RNAcentral.
GGCGGGUUAUUCUAAUGGUUAGGAAAUGGGGCUUUCAACCUCAUAACAGGGGUUCAAUUCCCCUACCCGUCA